GGGGCUGUAGCUCAGUGGUAGAGCAUUUGCCUUGAAUGCGUAAGGCACUAGGUUUGAUCCUCAGCACCA
RNAcentral lists this transfer RNA (69 nucleotides) under Ictidomys tridecemlineatus (thirteen-lined ground squirrel). Its description in RNAcentral is "Spermophilus tridecemlineatus (thirteen-lined ground squirrel) tRNA". It matches the Rfam family "tRNA". From Rfam's summary of the family: Transfer RNA (tRNA) molecules are approximately 80 nucleotides in length. The record is from Rfam by way of RNAcentral. RNAcentral also lists the same sequence under 1 other name. Lineage: Eukaryota; Metazoa; Chordata; Mammalia; Rodentia; Sciuridae.